Molecule: long non-coding RNA, 3116 nt
Organism: Sarcophilus harrisii (Tasmanian devil)
Lineage: Eukaryota; Metazoa; Chordata; Mammalia; Dasyuromorphia; Dasyuridae
Source: Ensembl
UGGGGACUUAUGACCAAUACAGAAAUAGAAAAGGUUGUGGGGCAGGGAUUUGAUCAUUACUGUUCUCAGCAAAGAGGGCCAGGAUCAGCUAUAGUUUCUUCCCACUGGCUGUCUCCCAGUUGUGGUAGCAGUGGCAGGAGCUGCAGGAACAGAGUGUUGCUAGGAGGCCUUGUUCAUUAUGAUAACUCUUAUUUUACUGACUAUUAUCCUAUUCUCAUGUCCCUAAUAGUCUCCCUUAUCCACAGGACUGAGAUAGAGUCAUCUCAGGUACUCAUGGAUCCUAAGUGUUCAAACAGCAGGGGGGAAGGCCGAGAAUUAAAGGACCAGGAAAGGCUUCCCGGCGCUGAGAUUUGACGGAAACCAGGAGCCAGAAAGGAGGGCGACGGUGUGUCGAGCUGGGGGACUUUUCUGCCUCUGUUAGCAGACAAGUGACUGACUUUGACGACUACAGGGCCGUGGCCAUGGACCUCGUGGGGGAAUCCCAGGAACUGCCCGGGGGAAGCAGAAGACCAGGCAUUCCAGGUAGAGAGGUCAGAGGCCCUAGAGGUGGGAACACCAGCGGGAACGCGCGGGGGGAACCAAGUUAGUCUCCAGUGUCUCCAUCCCCAAGAGACAGAGGGCUAGGACGGGGCUUUCCAGAGCAUGCGUAAAAACCGCCACUGGCUUCCAAACUAUAUUUCCCAGCAGCCCUUGUUCAUAACGGGAGGAAAACCAAACGUUAUCCCCGCCUGACUUCCGGUCAGGGUCCUUCUCGCACCGGAAGUUGGACGUUUUUGUCCGCCAUCGUGGGCUUCUGGUUUCCGCUCAAGCCCCAGUUUGACUGGGUGGCGGCUCCUGGCUGAAGGGACGUCAGCCAGAGAGCGGACCAGGAGGUAGGGCCGGGCGAGCGUCGGGCGCCAUGCUGCUCUGCCGAGGGGAAAGAAAGCAGGGCUGUGCUACGCCACGCCCCCAGUCGCCACGCCCACAUCACCACGCCCCCUAGUCGCCACGCCCCCAUCACCACGCCCCCUCCGAGAGCUGCCGAGCCAUUGGAGAGGGCGGGGACGAAGCUAGAACCGCUCUGCCUUAGCUCCUCUUGAAUCCCAAGCCCGCGUUUUCCUCGCCUGGCAUCGUCAAUCAACCAGCGUCAGUCGAGUAACCACGAUAUACCAGACCUUGAGGCUGAAAAAACAGAAGUAAAAGGCACCCCCUGCUGGGUUCACGGUGACCACAGCCGCUUAAACCCGGAUCUACCCGACUCCAGGUCACCUCUCUCGUAUUCAUUUCACAAGCAUUUAUGAAGUGCCAACUGUAUGCUAGGCUCCGGGGACAGAGAAACCAAACAGCUCCGGCCCACGGGGCGGGGGCUUACAUUCUAAGGUGGGGGUGGACACAAAUAGAACAAGUAAAUUCAAAAUGAAUAGAAAGUGAUGGGGGUUGGUACUGAGAAUACCUGGAGGGGCCGCUAGGGGGCGCAGAGCACGAGCUCUGAAGUCAGGAGGACCUGAGUUCAAAUCUAGCCUCAGACACACGUCCUAGCUGUUUGACUCUAGGCAAGUCACUUAACCCCAAUGGCCUCAGCGAAAAAGAAGAAAGAAAAGAAAAGAAUACCUGGAGCAUCGGGACGGGUGACCCUUGACCUCUGCUGGACCCCCCAGGUAGCCGGCAUUGACUUCUCUGCCCUGAGAGCUUCUAGUAGCGCCGGCGCCGCCAGUGCCCCGCUCGCAGUAAUGGCUGGAAUCAAUCCUGGGAGCGCUCUUGGGCGAGCAGGAAUGGCCCGAAGAUCUGGCCGGGGGCGGGCAGGGUGAGACCCCGUAAGCCGCGUCAGCCACCCUCCGGGCUCUCUCCCCAGCACUCUGGGCCUUGGGAGGAGCGCUCUCUUCUCUAAGAGAUGGCGCGUGGGGAUGGGGGAGGGGAGAAAAUGGCCCCGGGGCUGCCCAGGUAAAUGGGCGUGUCCUCCUCAGAGAAAAGCCUAGUUCUAUCAUGUUCCACCUCCCCCCCCCCCCCCCCCCCCCCCCCCCCCCCCCCCCCCCCCCCCCCCCCCGCCCAAAUCGGGGUCAUCCUCUUAUCGGAGCUACACCGUUGGGGGCACUUGGGGAGGCUUCUCUCUUUGCCUUGUCUCGAACCCUCGGGCAAUCCGUGAAGCCCUUAGAAUCACAGAAGAGCCUUUGUCAUGUUGAAAUCGCCAGCAAUCCUUUGUGGGCCUCUAUGUUUUAUGUGGAAAGGCAGUUAUCGAGGUUUUGUUAAAACGGAGGCCAUGGAACUCAGGUGAAGAGCUCCGACCUGAACCCCUCAUUUUGCAAGGAAGAGAAAUUCAAUGCCUGUUAAUUAAAAAAAAAUGUACUGCCAGUGAUGUACUAGAAGUAAUACUUGAUUAUUUUAUAAUAGUUUUUUAUUUUCCAAAAUACCUGCAGAGAUAAGAUUCAACAUUCACCCUUGCAAAACUGCUCUUAUUUUUUCUCCCUUUCUAUCCACCUUCCCCCUCCUCUAGACAGCCAGUAAUUCAAUACAGGUUAAACAUGUGCAAGGCUUCUAAACAUAUUUCCACAAUGAUCACGCUGCACAAGAAAAAUCAGAUCAAAAAGGAAGAAAUGAGAAAGGAAAAAAAAGCAACAACAACAAAAAAGGUGAAAAUGCUAUGUUGUGAUUCCCGUUCAGGCCCCAUAAUCCUCUCUCCCGAGGCAGACGGCUUGACUAUUCAUGGAGAAUAGGGAUAGUCUCCUCUCUGAUUAGAAAUCAAUAUUUGGCAAGUGCAGGGAAUCUCCUGACUCAAGUCUAGGGCUAUUUUCCUCAAAAAUGGGCAAUUAGGAGAUGCCAUAGUAGGCCGAGCACCAGGUCAGAAGUAGGCUCAAGUCUGACUUCAGGCACUGUGGACCCUGGACGUGGCUUAGACACAGGGGAUAGAAUGAGGCAGGGAUGGAGUCAGGGUGCUGAGAGUGGGAAAGGGACUCUUGACAGGGUGGGGUGAGCCACUGGAGAUGGGGAUGAUAUAAUGGGGGGAGGCACCCUGGAGAUGGGGAAAGGCAUCUUGAUAAGACGGUAUCUGAUAUUCUAAUAGCUUGGGAUGAGGAGAGGCAUUCUGAUAUUCUAAAAUAUAAGAUCUUUUACCCUUAUCAAAUAUUCUCAUUAAGAAGGAG